RNAcentral lists this ribosomal RNA (501 nucleotides) under Newportia stolli. Its description in RNAcentral is "partial 16S ribosomal RNA". It matches the Rfam family "Bacterial large subunit ribosomal RNA", at positions 1817 to 2600 of the family's 2925-position model. The record is from RNAcentral. Lineage: Eukaryota; Metazoa; Arthropoda; Chilopoda; Scolopendromorpha; Scolopocryptopidae.
GGUUCUAUGGAAAAUAAAAUAAAGAAUCUUGCCUGCCCAGUGAUAAAAAUUUUAACGGCCGCGGUAAUUUAACUGUGCGAAGGUAGCAUAAUCAAUUGUCUAUUAAUUGUAGACUGGAAUGAAUGGUAUGACUAAAGAUAAAUUGUCUUGAAAUUAAUAUGAAAUUUUCAUUUUCUUGAGGAGGAGAAAAUGAGUUAGAGGGACGAGAAGACCCUAUUGAGCUUUAUAUUAAUAAUAUAUUUAUGCGUGGGGAGAAAAAUAAAAAAAAUAUUUUGCUGGGGCGGUGGUGAUAAAAAUAAAACAAUCUUUAAUUUAAUAUUAUUAAGUGAAAAUUUGAUCCAAUAUAUUUGAGUAAAAUACUAAGUUACUGUAGGGAUAACAGCGUGAUAUUAUUUUGAAGUACUAAUUUAUGAUAAUGAUUGCGACCUCGAUGUUGGUUUAGGGUACUUAUUUGGCGCAAAUGCUAAAUUAAGUAGUCUGUUCGACUAUUAAAAUCCUAUA